UACGUAGGAUGCAAGCGUUGUCCGGAAUUAUUGGGCGUAAAGAGCGUGUAGGCGGCCCGAUUAGUCUGCUGUGAAAGUCCAGGGCUCAACCCUGGAAUGCCGGUGGAUACUGUCGGGCUAGAGUCCGGAAGGGGCGAGUGGAAUUCCUGGUGUAGCGGUGAAAUGCGCAGAUAUCAGGAGGAACACCAAUGGCGAAGGCAGCUCGCUGGGACGUGACUGACGCUGAGACGCGAAAGCGUGGGGAGCAAACAGG
Molecule: ribosomal RNA, 253 nt
Filed under: uncultured bacterium
Lineage: Bacteria
Description: partial 16S ribosomal RNA
Rfam family: Bacterial small subunit ribosomal RNA
Source: RNAcentral